AUAGGACUGAAGAGUCCCAUACUAGGACGAAACGGCCGUCUAAU
Schistosoma haematobium is the source of this 44-nucleotide non-coding RNA. The record is from Rfam. Lineage: Eukaryota; Metazoa; Platyhelminthes; Trematoda; Strigeidida; Schistosomatidae.